AGCAGCCGCGGUAAUUCCAGCUCCAAUAGCGUAUAUUAAAGUUGUUGCAGUUAAAAAGCUCGUAGUUGAAUUUCGGGAUCAAAUUGUCGGUCGUGCCUCGGUACGCACUGGUAUUAUUGGUUCCUACCUUCUGAAGAACCGCGAUGUCAUUAAUUUGGUGUCGUGGGGAAUCAGGACUGUUACUCUGAAAAAAUUAGAGUGUUUAAAGCAGGCUUACGCUUGAAUACAUUAGCAUGGAAUAAUGAAAUAGGACGUUUGAUUCUAUUUUGUUGGUUUCUAGGACUGACGUAAUGAUUAAUAGGGAUAGUUGGGGGCAUUAGUAUUCAAUUGUCAGAGGUGAAAUUCUUGGAUUUAUUGAAGACUAACUACUGCGAAAGCAUUUGCCAAGGAUGUUUUCAUUAAUCAAGAACGAAAGUUAGGGGAUCGAAGAUGAUCAGAUACCGUCGUAGUCUUAACCAUAAACUAUGCCGACUAGGGAUCGGAUGAUGUUAAUUUUUAAUGACUCAUUCGGCGC
This 514-nucleotide ribosomal RNA is filed under the name uncultured Glomus. Its description in RNAcentral is "SSU rRNA". It matches the Rfam family "Eukaryotic small subunit ribosomal RNA", at positions 569 to 1086 of the family's 1831-position model. The record is from RNAcentral. Lineage: Eukaryota; Fungi; Glomeromycota; Glomeromycetes; Glomerales; Glomeraceae.